Molecule: ribosomal RNA, 253 nt
Filed under: uncultured bacterium
Lineage: Bacteria
Description: partial 16S ribosomal RNA
Rfam family: Bacterial small subunit ribosomal RNA
Source: RNAcentral
UACGUAGGGCGCGAGCGUUGUCCGGAAUUAUUGGGCGUAAAGAGCUCGUAGGCGGUCUGUCGCGUCGGAUGUGAAAACCCAGGGCUCAACCCUGGGCCUGCAUUCGAUACGGGCAGACUAGAGUACGGCAGGGGAGACUGGAAUUCCUGGUGUAGCGGUGAAAUGCGCAGAUAUCAGGAGGAACACCGGUGGCGAAGGCGGGUCUCUGGGCCGAAACUGACGCUGAGGAGCGAAAGCGUGGGGAGCGAACAGG